Carlito syrichta (Philippine tarsier) is the source of this 471-nucleotide non-coding RNA. NCBI's taxonomy places the organism in Eukaryota, Metazoa, Chordata, Mammalia, Primates, Tarsiidae. The record is from the annotation of a RefSeq genome assembly.
AUGCUUUCACCCACUCCUGACUCCACCAGUCCAUGUGAAAAGGACUCCUGGGAAGCUUCAGGGGGAUUGAAUGGCGUGUCAGGAGGGUUUGUGUAUGGAGUUGAGUCAUGGUGCUAUGUGUUUGGCGGUGGCACCAGGUUCACCAUCCUCGGUCAGCCCAAGGCCACCCCCUCAGUCACUCUGUUCCCACCAUCAUCUGAGGAGAUGCAAACCAACAAGGCUCCAAUGUUGUGUCUCAUAAAUGACUUCUAUCUGGGCACCGUGUCUAUGAACUGGAAGGUAGAUGACACCCCCAUCACUCAGGGAGUUGAGAGCACCAAGCCCUCCAAACAGAGCAAUAGCAAGUACAUGGCCAGCAGCUGCCUGUCCCUGACACCUGACCAGUGGAAAUCUCACGAGGUCUACAGCUGCCAGGUCACACAUGAAGAGAGCAUUCUGGAGAAGACAGUGACCACUGAACAGUGUUCUUAG